Molecule: ribosomal RNA, 2257 nt
Filed under: Citrobacter freundii
Lineage: Bacteria; Pseudomonadati; Pseudomonadota; Gammaproteobacteria; Enterobacterales; Enterobacteriaceae
Description: partial 23S ribosomal RNA
Rfam family: Bacterial large subunit ribosomal RNA
Source: RNAcentral
UUUAUGGGGUGACUGCGUACCUUUUGUAUAAUGGGUCAGCGACUUAUAUUCUGUAGCAAGGUUAACCGUAUAGGGGAGCCGAAGGGAAACCGAGUCUUAACUGGGCGUUAAGUUGCAGGGUAUAGACCCGAAACCCGGUGAUCUAGCCAUGGGCAGGUUGAAGGUUGGGUAACACUAACUGGAGGACCGAACCGACUAAUGUUGAAAAAUUAGCGGAUGACUUGUGGCUGGGGGUGAAAGGCCAAUCAAACCGGGAGAUAGCUGGUUCUCCCCGAAAGCUAUUUAGGUAGCGCCUCGUGAACUCAUCUUCGGGGGUAGAGCACUGUUUCGGCUAGGGGGUCAUCCCGACUUACCAACCCGAUGCAAACUGCGAAUACCGAAGAAUGUUAUCACGGGAGACACACGGCGGGUGCUAACGUCCGUCGUGAAGAGGGAAACAACCCAGACCGCCAGCUAAGGUCCCAAAGUCAUGGUUAAGUGGGAAACGAUGUGGGAAGGCACAGACAGCCAGGAUGUUGGCUUAGAAGCAGCCAUCAUUUAAAGAAAGCGUAAUAGCUCACUGGUCGAGUCGGCCUGCGCGGAAGAUGUAACGGGGCUAAACCAUGCACCGAAGCUGCGGCAGCGACACUAUGUGUUGUUGGGUAGGGGAGCGUUCUGUAAGCCGUUGAAGGUGGCCUGUGAGGGUUGCUGGAGGUAUCAGAAGUGCGAAUGCUGACAUAAGUAACGAUAAUGCGGGUGAAAAACCCGCACGCCGGAAGACCAAGGGUUCCUGUCCAACGUUAAUCGGGGCAGGGUGAGUCGACCCCUAAGGCGAGGCCGAAAGGCGUAGUCGAUGGGAAACAGGUUAAUAUUCCUGUACUUGGUGUUACUGCGAAGGGGGGACGGAGAAGGCUAUGUUAGCCGGGCGACGGUUGUCCCGGUUUAAGCAUGUAGGCGGAGGUUCCAGGUAAAUCCGGUACCUUUUUAACGCUGAGGUGUGAUGACGAGGCACUACGGUGCUGAAGUAACAAAUGCCCUGCUUCCAGGAAAAGCCUCUAAGCAUCAGGUAACACGAAAUCGUACCCCAAACCGACACAGGUGGUCAGGUAGAGAAUACCAAGGCGCUUGAGAGAACUCGGGUGAAGGAACUAGGCAAAAUGGUGCCGUAACUUCGGGAGAAGGCACGCUGAUAUGUAGGUGAAGUGAUUUACUCAUGGAGCUGAAAUCAGUCGAAGAUACCAGCUGGCUGCAACUGUUUAUUAAAAACACAGCACUGUGCAAACACGAAAGUGGACGUAUACGGUGUGACGCCUGCCCGGUGCCGGAAGGUUAAUUGAUGGGGUUAUCCGUAAGGAGAAGCUCUUGAUCGAAGCCCCGGUAAACGGCGGCCGUAACUAUAACGGUCCUAAGGUAGCGAAAUUCCUUGUCGGGUAAGUUCCGACCUGCACGAAUGGCGUAAUGAUGGCCAGGCUGUCUCCACCCGAGACUCAGUGAAAUUGAACUCGCUGUGAAGAUGCAGUGUACCCGCGGCAAGACGGAAAGACCCCGUGAACCUUUACUAUAGCUUGACACUGAACACUGGUCCUUGAUGUGUAGGAUAGGUGGGAGGCUUUGAAGUGUGGACGCCAGUCUGCAUGGAGCCAUCCUUGAAAUACCACCCUUUAAUGGCUGGUGUUCUAACGUGGACCCGUUACCCGGGUUGCGGACAGUGUCUGGUGGGUAGUUUGACUGGGGCGGUCUCCUCCUAAAGAGUAACGGAGGAGCACGAAGGUUAGCUAAUCCUGGUCGGACAUCAGGAGGUUAGUGCAAAGGCAUAAGCUAGCUUGACUGCGAGAGUGACGGCUCGAGCAGGUGCGAAAGCAGGUCUUAGUGAUCCGGUGGUUCUGAAUGGAAGGGCCAUCGCUCAACGGAUAAAAGGUACUCCGGGGAUAACAGGCUGAUACCGCCCAAGAGUUCAUAUCGACGGCGGUGUUUGGCACCUCGAUGUCGGCUCAUCACAUCCUGGGGCUGAAGUAGGUCCCAAGGGUAUGGCUGUUCGCCAUUUAAAGUGGUACGCGAGCUGGGUUUAGAACGUCGUGAGACAGUUCGGUCCCUAUCUGCCGUGGGCGCUGGAGAAUUGAGGGGGGCUGCUCCUAGUACGAGAGGACCGGAGUGGACGCAUCACUGGUGUUCGGGUUGUCAUGCCAAUGGCAUUGCCCGGUAGCUAAAUGCGGAAGAGAUAAGUGCUGAAAGCAUCUAAGCACGAAACUUGCCCCGAGAUGAGUUCUCCCUGAGACUU